UGGGGAAUUUUGGACGAAUUGGGGGCAACCCGUGAUCCAGCCAUCCCGCGUGUGCGAUGAAGGCCUUCGGGUUGUAAAGCACUUUUGGCAGGGAAGAAACAGCCUGGGAUAAUACCCCGGGCGACUGACGGUACCUGCAGAAUAAGCACCGGCUAACUACGUGCCAGCAGCCGCGGUAAUACGUAGGGUGCAAGCGUUAAUCGGAAUUACUGGGCGUAAAGCGUGCGCAGGCGGUUCGGAAAGAAAGGUGUGAAAUCCCAGGGCUUAACCUUGGAACUGCACUUUUAACUACCGAGCUAGAGUACGUCAGAGGGGGGUAGAAUUCCACGUGUAGCAGUGAAAUGCGUAGAGAUGUGGAGGAAUACCGAUGGCGAAGGCAGCCCCCUGGGAUGAUACUGACGCUCAUGCACGAAAGCGUGGGGAGCAAACAGGAUUAGAUACCCUGGGUAGUCCACGCCCUAAACGAUGUCAACUAGCUGUUGGGGUUUAUUAACCUUAGUAGCGCAGCUAACGCGUGAAGUUGACCGCCUGGGGAGUACGGUCGCAAGAUU
Molecule: ribosomal RNA, 551 nt
Filed under: uncultured bacterium
Lineage: Bacteria
Description: partial 16S ribosomal RNA
Rfam family: Bacterial small subunit ribosomal RNA
Source: RNAcentral